GUAAAUAUAGUUUAAAAAAAACAUUAGAUUGUGAAUCUAACAAUAGGAGCUUAUAUCUCCUUAUUUGCC
RNAcentral lists this transfer RNA (69 nucleotides) under Odocoileus virginianus (white-tailed deer). Its description in RNAcentral is "tRNA-His". It matches the Rfam family "tRNA". From Rfam's summary of the family: Transfer RNA (tRNA) molecules are approximately 80 nucleotides in length. Their secondary structure includes four short double-helical elements and three loops (D, anti-codon, and T loops). Further hydrogen bonds mediate the characteristic L-shaped molecular structure. tRNAs have two regions of fundamental functional importance: the anti-codon, which is responsible for specific mRNA codon recognition, and the 3' end, to which the tRNAs corresponding amino acid is attached (by aminoacyl-tRNA synthetases). tRNAs cope with the degeneracy of the genetic code in two manners: having more than one tRNA (with a specific anti-codon) for a particular amino acid; and 'wobble' base-pairing, i.e. permitting non-standard base-pairing at the 3rd anti-codon position. RNAcentral also lists the same sequence under 1 other name. The record is from RNAcentral. Lineage: Eukaryota; Metazoa; Chordata; Mammalia; Artiodactyla; Cervidae.